CCUACGUGAUGCAGCAGUGAGGAAUAUUGGUCAAUGGGCGCGAGCCUGAACCAGCCAAGUAGCGUGAAGGAUGACUGCCCUACGGGUUGUAAACUUCUUUUAUAAAGGAAUAAAGUGAGGCACGUGUGCCUUUUUGUAUGUACUUUAUGAAUAAGGAUCGGCUAACUCCGUGCCAGCAGCCGCGGUAAUACGGAGGAUCCGAGCGUUAUCCGGAUUUAUUGGGUUUAAAGGGAGCGUAGAUGGGUUGUUAAGUCAGUUGUGAAAGUUUGCGGCUCAACCGUAAAAUUGCAAUUGAUACUGGCAGUCUUGAGUACAGUUGAGGUAGGCGGAAUUCGUGGUGUAGCGGUGAAAUGCUUAGAUAUCACGAAGAACUCCGAUUGCGAAGGCAGCUUACUAAACUGCCACUGACAUUGAUGCUCGAAAGUGUGGGUAUCAAACAGGAUUAGAUACCCUUGUAGUC
RNAcentral lists this ribosomal RNA (460 nucleotides) under uncultured bacterium. Its description in RNAcentral is "partial 16S ribosomal RNA". It matches the Rfam family "Bacterial small subunit ribosomal RNA", at positions 338 to 795 of the family's 1533-position model. The record is from RNAcentral.